RNAcentral lists this ribosomal RNA (419 nucleotides) under bacterium. Its description in RNAcentral is "partial 16S ribosomal RNA". It matches the Rfam family "Bacterial small subunit ribosomal RNA", at positions 355 to 776 of the family's 1533-position model. The record is from RNAcentral.
UGGGGGAUAUUGCACAAUGGGCGAAAGCCUGAUGCAGCGACGCCGCGUGGGGGAUGAAGGCCUUCGGGUUGUAAACUUCUUUUGCUCUGAACAAGGCAUGCUAAUGGGUGUGUUGAGUGUAGGGGUUGAUUAGCGCCGGCUAACUACGUGCCAGCAGCAGCGGUAAUACGUAGGGCGCGAGCGUUGUCCGGAAUUAUUGGGCGUAAAGGGCUUGUAGGUGGCUGGUUGCGUCUGUCGUGAAAGCUCAUGGCUUAACUGUGGGUUUGCGGUGGGUACGGGCUGGCUUGAGUGCAGUAGGGGAGGCUGGAAUUCCUGGUGUAGCGGUGGAAUGCGCAGAUAUCAGGAGGAAUACCGGUGGCGAAGGCGGGUCUCUGGGCUGUUACUGACACUGAGGAGCGAAAGCAUGGGGAGCGAACAGG